UUCUACAACAGUAUCUUUCUUGCUUA
This 26-nucleotide non-coding RNA is filed under the name Mus musculus (house mouse). The record is from RNAcentral. Lineage: Eukaryota; Metazoa; Chordata; Mammalia; Rodentia; Muridae.